GGGUGUAGCGCAGUUGGUAGCGCACUCGUCUAAGAAGCGAGGGGUCGUCGGUUCGAGCCCGACCAUCCCCGCCU
RNAcentral lists this transfer RNA (74 nucleotides) under Mesorhizobium sp. M7A.F.Ca.CA.004.04.2.1. RNAcentral describes it as "tRNA-Leu". It matches the Rfam family "tRNA". Rfam says of the family: Transfer RNA (tRNA) molecules are approximately 80 nucleotides in length. Lineage: Bacteria; Pseudomonadati; Pseudomonadota; Alphaproteobacteria; Hyphomicrobiales; Phyllobacteriaceae. The record is from RNAcentral. RNAcentral also lists the same sequence under 19 other names.